RNAcentral lists this ribosomal RNA (344 nucleotides) under uncultured fungus. RNAcentral's name for it is "SSU rRNA". It matches the Rfam family "Eukaryotic small subunit ribosomal RNA", at positions 292 to 636 of the family's 1831-position model. Lineage: Eukaryota; Fungi. The record is from RNAcentral.
GCUUCAUUCAAAUAUCUGCCCUAUCAACUUUCGAUGGUAGGAUAGUGGCCUACCAUGGUUUUAACGGGUAACGGGGAAUAAGGGUUCGAUUCCGGAGAGGGAGCCUGAGAAACGGCUACCACAUCCAAGGAAGGCAGCAGGCGCGCAAAUUACCCAAUCCCGACCGGGGAGGUAGUGACAAUAAAUAACAAUAUAGGGCUCUUUUGGGUCUUAUAAUUGGAAUGAGUACAAUUUAAACCCCUUAACGAGGAACAAUUGGAGGGCAAGUCUGGUGCCAGCAGCCGCGGUAAUUCCAGCUCCAAUAGCGUAUAUUAAAGUUGUUGCAGUUAAAAAGCUCGUAGUUG